This 429-nucleotide ribosomal RNA is filed under the name Chloroflexota bacterium. RNAcentral describes it as "Chloroflexi bacterium partial 16S ribosomal RNA". It matches the Rfam family "Bacterial small subunit ribosomal RNA", at positions 355 to 776 of the family's 1533-position model. Lineage: Bacteria; Bacillati; Chloroflexota. The record is from RNAcentral.
UGGGGAAUAUUUCACAAUUGGCGCAAGCCCGAUGCAGCCAUGCCGCGUGUAUGAAGAAGGCCUUCGGGUUGGAAAGUACUUUCAGUCGGGAGGCAGGCGGUAAGGUUAAUAACCUUAUCAAUUGACGUUACCGACAGAAGAAGCACCGGCCAACUCCGUGCCAGCAGCCGCGGUAAUUCGGAGGGUGCAAGCGUUAAUCGGAAUUACUGGGCGUAAAGCGCACGCAGGCGGUUGAUUGAGUCAGAUGUGAAAUCCCCGGGCUUAACCCGGGAAUGGCAUCGGAUACAGGUCAGCUAGAGGCUUGAGGGGGGGGGUGAAAUUAAAGGUGUGGCGGGGAAAGGAGUGGGGAGCUGGAGGAAUACCGGUGGGGAAGGCGGCCCCCUGGACAAAGACUGACGCUCAGGUGGGAAAGGGUGGGGGGCAAAAAGG